CAGCACCAGAGGGCCUUCUUGGCCACGCCCUCUCCGGCCCUUGGCGCUUUCCGCCAUUUUCAGCGCCAGAGGGCCUUCUCGGCCACGCCUUCUCCUGCAGGCGGCACCUCCGUCCCUUCCGCCAUCUUCAGCGCCAGAGGGUCUUUUCUGCCGCCCUCCCUGGUGGUGUUCCUGCUAUCUUCAGCGCCAGAGGACCUGCUCGGCCAGGCCAGGCCCUCCCCUGCUGGCGCUGCUGCACCGCUGCCGCCAUCCUCAGCACCAGAAAGGUGUACCAAGGCUCUCAGUAUCCCACGCCACAGCUUCCUACUGAGGAAGUAUACUAGGUGGGAGUGAGAAGAUGUGACAUUGUCAGAGGCGUUAAAGAUGGAUUCUCAUCGAGUCUUUUUAAGGUAAGGGUAAUGAUAAAAUUCAUAUAUUGAAUGUUGAGUAUGUGUCAGACAUGCCAA
This 446-nucleotide long non-coding RNA is filed under the name Fukomys damarensis (Damara mole-rat). RNAcentral's name for it is "lncRNA (ENSFDAG00000033475.1)". The record is from RNAcentral. Lineage: Eukaryota; Metazoa; Chordata; Mammalia; Rodentia; Bathyergidae.